UACGUAGGGUGCAAGCGUUAUCCGGAAUUAUUGGGCGUAAAGAGUUGCGUAGGCGGACUAGCAAGUUUUUGGUGAAAUCCUUCGGCUUAACCGGAGAACUGCCAAGAAAACUGCUAGACUUAGAGGGAAUCAGGGGGUGCUGGAACUUGUGGUGUAGUAGUAAAAUGCGUUGAUAUCACAAGGAACACCAAAGGCGAAGGCAGGCACCUGGGAUUCACCUGACGCUAAGGCACGAAAGCGUGGGGAUCGAAACGGAUUAGAUACCCCGGUAGUCCCUGAGCGGGCUGG
Molecule: ribosomal RNA, 288 nt
Filed under: uncultured prokaryote
Description: partial 16S ribosomal RNA
Rfam family: Bacterial small subunit ribosomal RNA
Source: RNAcentral